UGGUUCGAUCCUGGCUCAGGAUGAACGCUGGCGGCGUGCCUAAUACAUGCAAGUCGAACGAAACUUCUUUAUCACCGAGUGCUUGCACUCACCGAUAAAGAGUUGAGUGGCGAACGGGUGAGUAACACGUGGGCAACCUGCCCAAAAGAGGGGGAUAACACUUGGAAACAGGUGCUAAUACCGCAUAACCAUAGUUACCGCAUGGUAACUAUGUAAAAGGUGGCUAUGCUACCGCUUUUGGAUGGGCCCGCGGCGCAUUAGCUAGUUGGUGGGGUAAAGGCUUACCAAGGCAAUGAUGCGUAGCCGAACUGAGAGGUUGAUCGGCCACAUUGGGACUGAGACACGGCCCAAACUCCUACGGGAGGCAGCAGUAGGGAAUCUUCCACAAUGGGCGAAAGCCUGAUGGAGCAACGCCGCGUGGGUGAAGAAGGUCUUCGGAUCGUAAAACCCUGUUGUUAGAGAAGAAAGUGCGUGAGAGUAACUGUUCACGUUUCGACGGUAUCUAACCAGAAAGCCACGGCUAACUACGUGCCAGCAGCCGCGGUAAUACGUAGGUGGCAAGCGUUAUCCGGAUUUAUUGGGCGUAAAGGGAACGCAGGCGGUCUUUUAAGUCUGAUGUGAAAGCCUUCGGCUUAACCGGAGUAGUGCAUUGGAAACUGGGAGACUUGAGUGCAGAAGAGGAGAGUGGAACUCCAUGUGUGGCGGUGAAAUGCGUAGAUAUAUGGAAGAACACCAGUGGCGAAAGCGGCUCUCUGGUCUGUAACUGACGCUGAGGUUCGAAAGCGUGGGUAGCAAACAGGAUUAGAUACCCUGGUAGUCCACGCCGUAAACGAUGAAUGCUAAGUGUUGGAGGGUUUCCGCCCUUCAGUGCUGCAGCUAACGCAAUAAGCAUUCCGCCUGGGGAGUACGACCGCAAGGUUGAAACUCAAAGGAAUUGACGGGGGCCCGCACAAGCGGUGGAGCAUGUGGUUUAAUUCGAAGCAACGCGAAGAACCUUACCAGGUCUUGACAUCUUUUGACAAUCCUAGAGAUAGGACUCUCCCUUCGGGGACAAAAUGACAGGUGGUGCAUGGUUGUCGUCAGCUCGUGUCGUGAGAUGUUGGGUUAAGUCCCGCAACGAGCGCAACCCUUAUUGUUAGUUGCCAGCAUUAAGUUGGGCACUCUAGCAAGACUGCCGGUGACAAACCGGAGGAAGGUGGGGAUGACGUCAAAUCAUCAUGCCCCUUAUGACCUGGGCUACACACGUGCUACAAUGGACGGUACAACGAGUCGCAAGACCGCGAGGUUUAGCAAAUCUCUUAAAGCCGUUCUCAGUUCGGAUUGUAGGCUGCAACUCGCCUACAUGAAGUCGGAAUCGCUAGUAAUCGCGGAUCAGCAUGCCGCGGUGAAUACGUUCCCGGGCCUUGUACACACCGCCCGUCACACCAUGAGAGUUUGUAACACCCAAAGCCGGUGGGGUAACCUUUUGGAGCCAGCCGUCUAAGGUGGGACAGAUGAUUGGGGUGAAGUCGUAACAAGGUACCC
Molecule: ribosomal RNA, 1524 nt
Filed under: uncultured bacterium
Lineage: Bacteria
Description: partial 16S ribosomal RNA
Rfam family: Bacterial small subunit ribosomal RNA
Source: RNAcentral